Molecule: ribosomal RNA, 440 nt
Filed under: uncultured bacterium
Lineage: Bacteria
Description: partial 16S ribosomal RNA
Rfam family: Bacterial small subunit ribosomal RNA
Source: RNAcentral
CCUACGGGUGGCAGCAGUGGGGGAUAUUGCACAAUGGGGGAAACCCUGAUGCAGCGACGCCGCGUGUGGGAAGACGGUCCUCUGGAUUGUAAACCACUGUCCCCAGGGACGAAGAUGACGGUACCGGGGGAGGAAGCGCCGGCUAACUACGUGCCAGCAGCCGCGGUAAUACGUAGGGAGCGAGCGUUGUCCGGAAUUACUGGGGAUCAAGGGAGCGUAGGCGGGGAUGCAAGUUGGGUGUCAAACCUACCGGCUCAACUGGUAGUCGCCCUCAAAACUGCAGCUCUUGAGUGAAGUAGAGGCAGGCGGAAUUCCUAGUGUAGCGGUUAAAUGCGUAGAUAUUAGGCGGAACACCAGUGGCGAAGGCGGCCUGCUGGGCUUUUACUGACGCUGAGGCUCGAAAGUGUGGGGAGCAAACAGGAUUAGAUACCCUUGUAGUC